Juglans microcarpa x Juglans regia is the source of this 292-nucleotide long non-coding RNA. RefSeq lists it as uncharacterized. The transcript is spliced from 2 exons. The record is from RefSeq and is a predicted model, not a curated record. Lineage: Eukaryota; Viridiplantae; Streptophyta; Magnoliopsida; Fagales; Juglandaceae.
UCGUAGAUGAAAGGUUUUAUAUAAAGGAGGAGGCUGGUGUGGAUUUCCUCUCCCUCCCAUUAAACUCAACAUGGCUUUCAAAGUUUCUACUGCCAUUGCAUUUUGCUUCGUUGCUUUUCUCAUCCUCGCCAACCAUAUUGUUUCCCCUCGACAACUCGUGGUAGUUCCUAGUGGUGGUGGUUCUGGCAAAUCUCCUGCCGUUGGAAUCUCGUCUCCUAUAUCUCACCCUUGUGAUGAUCCUAAGUACUCCCAAAUAUCCCAGAGGACAUGCUUGCCGCCGUCUCGUUGAGAC